Molecule: microRNA precursor, 78 nt
Filed under: Xyrichtys novacula (pearly razorfish)
Lineage: Eukaryota; Metazoa; Chordata; Actinopteri; Labriformes; Labridae
Source: RNAcentral
ACUCUCUCUGUCCUGUCCCGUCCCGCCCCCCCUCUCUCUCCCUGGGGGGGGGGGGGUACGGGACGGGACAGAGAGGGG